RNAcentral lists this ribosomal RNA (151 nucleotides) under Tsukamurella pulmonis. RNAcentral describes it as "partial 23S ribosomal RNA". It matches the Rfam family "Bacterial large subunit ribosomal RNA", at positions 2778 to 2925 of the family's 2925-position model. Lineage: Bacteria; Bacillati; Actinomycetota; Actinomycetes; Mycobacteriales; Tsukamurellaceae. The record is from RNAcentral.
CAUCUAAGCGGGAAGCCUGUUCCAAGAUUAGGAUUCUCACCACCUUGAGUGGGUAAGACCCCCUACAGACUAUGGGGUUGAUAGGCCAGAACUGGAAGCGCAGUAAUGCGUGUAGGUGACUGGUACUAAUCGGUCGAGGGCUUACCACACA